UCGUGCAAUACAAAAUUACUAGAAAUUGCGAAUGCAGGGUAUUUGAUUAUAAGUGGGUUACGAAUUGGAACUGAUUGGAACGCUCACUUCAUGUGCGACGGCAAAAUGUCAACAACGAUGCUUCCUAAUGUUUUUCCCUACUUUUUCUUUAAAAUAAGUUUUUCAGAUGAUAAUUGUGAAGAUAUUUUAUACUGAAUAUAAAUGAUUUUUACUAUAAUACGAGUUUCAAGAAUGCAAAUUGGAAAUGAUCUCGUUUAUCGAUUUAUUCAGCGACUCUUAUGCUUCUACUCGGCAUUCUACUUGGAAAUCUACUCGGCAUAAAACAACUACUAAUUCCACAUAUUCUAAUGCAAGAACGAAAGCUUGUUGAUGAUCCUCUGUUUUUGAGAGAUGCUAAACCAACAUAGACGCAAGUUACUUUAAUGAUCACCUUAGGCGAACGAAAUAAGCAUGUGCUCAUGUCUCACGUCGCAAGUUCGUCAAUUAAUCCUUCCAGGAUUAAAUCUUUCUUCCGCUCAUUCUAUUCGCAGCAUAUGCAAUUACAAUCGAUAUGACAUGUAAUG
This is a non-coding RNA of Linepithema humile (Argentine ant), 563 nucleotides long. NCBI's taxonomy places the organism in Eukaryota, Metazoa, Arthropoda, Insecta, Hymenoptera, Formicidae. The record is from RefSeq and is a predicted model, not a curated record.